GUGAAUCAUCGAAUUUUUGAACGCAAAUUGCACUCUCCUCGGAGAGUAUGCCUGUUUGAGGGUCAGCCUAUAAAAAAUCGACAUCGUUGCUGUUUCGCGGUGGCGUUCGUCGGAAAUUGGGUCAUCUUAAAUCCUUUUGGUUUUUAAGCGACUUAAAAUUUUCUUUACGAUUCCACGAACGUUUCUAAGAUUUACUUCUUACACGUUUAAGGUAUCGAUCUUUAUUAGACGUCGCCGUUGCAUCGCAUCACGCCCCUCCAUACUCCGUCAAC
This 272-nucleotide unclassified non-coding RNA is filed under the name Glomus sp. Its description in RNAcentral is "partial contains 5.8S ribosomal RNA and internal transcribed spacer 2". The stretch from base 1 to 65 matches the Rfam family "5.8S ribosomal RNA", at positions 84 to 154 of the family's 154-position model. The record is from RNAcentral. Lineage: Eukaryota; Fungi; Glomeromycota; Glomeromycetes; Glomerales; Glomeraceae.